RNAcentral lists this ribosomal RNA (253 nucleotides) under uncultured bacterium. RNAcentral's name for it is "partial 16S ribosomal RNA". It matches the Rfam family "Bacterial small subunit ribosomal RNA", at positions 524 to 776 of the family's 1533-position model. The record is from RNAcentral.
UACGGAGGGUCCAAGCGUUGUUCGGAAUUACUGGGCGUAAAGCGAGUGUAGGCGGUUACGUUAGUCGGAUGUGAAAUCCCAGGGCCCAACCCUGGAACUGCAUCCGAUACUGCGUAACUAGAGUCCUGGAGAGGAUGGCGGAAUUCCGGGUGUAGAGGUGAAAUUCGUAGAUAUCCGGAGGAACACCAGUGGCGAAGGCGGCCAUCUGGACAGUGACUGACGCUGAGACUCGAAAGUGUGGGGAGCAAACAGG